AUUGAACGCUGGCGGCAGGCCUAACACAUGCAAGUCGAACGGUAACAGGAAACAGCUUGCUGUUUCGCUGACGAGUGGCGGACGGGUGAGUAAUGUCUGGGAAACUGCCUGAUGGAGGGGGAUAACUACUGGAAACGGUAGCUAAUACCGCAUAACGUCGCAAGACCAAAGAGGGGGACCUUCGGGCCUCUUGCCAUCGGAUGUGCCCAGAUGGGAUUAGCUAGUAGGUGGGGUAACGGCUCACCUAGGCGACGAUCCCUAGCUGGUCUGAGAGGAUGACCAGCCACACUGGAACUGAGACACGGUCUAGACUCCUACGGGAGGCAGCAGUGGGGAAUAUUGCACAAUGGGCGCAAGCCUGAUGCAGCCAUGCCGCGUGUAUGAAGAAGGCCUUCGGGUUGUAAAGUACUUUCAGCGGGGAUGAAGGGAGUAAAGUUAAUACCUUUGCUCAUUGACGUUACCCGCAGAAGAAGCACCGGCUAACUCCGUG
RNAcentral lists this ribosomal RNA (490 nucleotides) under uncultured bacterium. RNAcentral describes it as "partial 16S ribosomal RNA". It matches the Rfam family "Bacterial small subunit ribosomal RNA", at positions 30 to 507 of the family's 1533-position model. The record is from RNAcentral.